CCGAACCCCACUUUUGAUCCAUCCGUAUGUCUAUGGAAAACAGUUCACUGUUCUUACAGCUGAAUUGCCGGUAUGGUGUAGGCACUGCGGGUGGAGCUCGCUGGGUGAAGUGCUGCGCCUGGCUUAAAAAGCAACGCUGAGAAGUCAGGGCUGUUUGGCCCGGCGGAAGGCCUUGCUGCUGUACUUGCGGGGUUGCGGGGACCUGAGCUGUGUCUCGCAUUUCGCUGUACUGCGCUGCCUUGUGUUGCCAGCAUCAAAAAUUUAAUGCUGUCCCUAUGUAUGACUGCUGCUUCUAAUCGCCAGCUGUUUUCUUCUGUGUGAUCUCCAAUUAAAAAAAAAGCUUUUAACUACAUGACAUCCUUGCUAAGCUUCAGGAACAGAAACAAUAUCUCGCUCUUCCAUUCCCCCUAUGAAGAUGGCCAGGCUGACCUCAGAUGGGUAUCCUUUCCGUGGUGUGUGUUCACAAGGAUCUUCAGAUUUAGCGAGCCUCUCAGCAGGCGUGAGGACCUUUGAUGUGCUGCACUUGCAGCAGCCCUGGAAUGUGACCCCUGGAACUGGCCAGUACAGCUGGAGCCCUCGGAGCGCUGCAGGCCUGGGUUUCGGAGCAAAGCCACGUCCGCAAGCAAAGAGACAGAAAGGCCCCAGUUGCUCACGACGAAGCCUCUUGUGCCACAGGGCUGUGGCUCGGUGGUGGCGCUGCAGAGAAGCCUUACGAGGGCCACAUCAGUUCUGUGCGCAAUGAAACGGCGUGGAUUCAGGUCUAGAAUAUCUGCUUGAAUUGUCCAUUAGGGGGAAUUUCCAAAGGCUUUUUUUCUAAGUGGAAACUAUUUAAAUUCUGUGAUUAGCAACUGCUUCUGAAAUUUGCUUUUGCAAUGAAAACUCACUUUGGCCGAUCCAGAUUCAACCCGGGUUGCGAAAAGGAGCUCUGGUUUCCUUGCCUGGCCUCUGGUGUCACUGUUGUGCUGCACACACACACACAUGGCUUAAUGCCAUUGCUUACACAUGCCAAAACGGAAGUUGUUAAAGAAACAAAACAAACCACCAAUUAAUUCAUAUCCUAUCCAAACUACUCGCCUGAAAGUUGUAUCAUUACUUUUGUAUUUCACUCAUACUAACAAGACAGUGAAAUAAUAAAUCCUUAAAAUCUGAUUGGCUGAAAAUAAAA
RNAcentral lists this long non-coding RNA (1165 nucleotides) under Apteryx rowi (Okarito brown kiwi). Its description in RNAcentral is "lncRNA (ENSARWG00000011384.1)". The record is from RNAcentral. Lineage: Eukaryota; Metazoa; Chordata; Aves; Apterygiformes; Apterygidae.